RNAcentral lists this ribosomal RNA (469 nucleotides) under uncultured bacterium. Its description in RNAcentral is "bacterial SSU rRNA". It matches the Rfam family "Bacterial small subunit ribosomal RNA", at positions 1026 to 1490 of the family's 1533-position model. The record is from RNAcentral.
GUCCGUGCACAGGUGCUGCAUGGCUGUCGUCAGCUCGUGUCGUGAGAUGUUGGGUUAAGUCCCGCAACGAGCGCAACCCUCGUCCCUAGUUACCAGCGGGUCAUGCCCCGCCACACCUAGGGAGACUGCCGGUGUCAAACCGGAGAAAGGUGGGGAUGACGUCAAGUCAUCAUGACCCUUACGUCCAGGGCGACACACGUGCUACAAUGGCCGGUACAGAGCGUCGCCAACCCGCGAGGGUGCGCCAAUCGCCAAAAGCCGGUCUAAGUUCGGAUUGCAGUCUGCAACUCGACUGCAUGAAGCCGGAAUCGCUAGUAAUCGUGGAUCAGCCAUGCCACGGUGAAUACGUUCCCGGGCCUUGUACACACCGCCCGUCACGCCAUGGAAGCUGGGGGGACCUGAAGUCGGUGGGCUAACCGCAAGGAGGCAGCCGCCAAAGGUCAAUUCAGUGACUGGGGCGCAAGAUCCA